Molecule: long non-coding RNA, 393 nt
Organism: Bubalus bubalis (water buffalo)
Lineage: Eukaryota; Metazoa; Chordata; Mammalia; Artiodactyla; Bovidae
Exons: 2
Source: RefSeq, a predicted model, not a curated record
AAGUAGCCAAUCCUAAACUGUUGACCCUGCUCUGUGUUGCUUUUGCCAAGGAAACGCCAAUAAAGUCUCUGGGCUAAAGUUUCCCCUCCCUCUUGCCUUCUGCCUCCUGGCCACCCUGAUGAUUUUCCCAUGUAGCCUUGCGUGGCGUGCUGUGCUCUUAUGGACCUGCACGUGGGAUCUUAGCUCUGGGACCAGGAAUCAAGCCUGCACCCCCUUCACUGGAAGACAGGGACUGCUCCUGACUGCCACAGAAGUCCCUGGAAUAUAAUCUUUGUGUUGUACAAUGCAUGCCACAGCUUUCCUGCUAGACCAAAAACUCCUUAAAGGCAGAGCCCAGGUAACUCCAUGACUGGCUUGAGCACAGUGCUUGACAAUAAACAUUUGUUGAAUGAG